RNAcentral lists this ribosomal RNA (253 nucleotides) under uncultured bacterium. RNAcentral describes it as "partial 16S ribosomal RNA". It matches the Rfam family "Bacterial small subunit ribosomal RNA", at positions 524 to 776 of the family's 1533-position model. The record is from RNAcentral.
UACGGAGGGGGCUAGCGUUAAUCGGAAUUACUGGGCGUAAAGCGUGCGUAGGCGGUUUGUUAAGUCUGCUGUGAAAUCCCCGGGCUCAACCUGGGAAUGGCAGUGGAUACUGGCAAGCUAGAGUGUGUCAGAGGAUGGUGGAAUUCCCGGUGUAGCGGUGAAAUGCGUAGAGAUCGGGAGGAACAUCAGUGGCGAAGGCGGCCAUCUGGGACAACACUGACGCUGAGGCACGAAAGCGUGGGGAGCAAACAGG